Molecule: transfer RNA, 76 nt
Filed under: Neokomagataea anthophila
Lineage: Bacteria; Pseudomonadati; Pseudomonadota; Alphaproteobacteria; Acetobacterales; Acetobacteraceae
Description: tRNA-His
Rfam family: tRNA
About the family: Transfer RNA (tRNA) molecules are approximately 80 nucleotides in length.
Source: RNAcentral
GCGGAUGUAGCUCAGUUGGUAGAGCGCCGGUUUGUGGUUCCGGUUGUCGCGGGUUCGAUCCCCGUCAUUCGCCCCA